ACAAAGGCUCUUUUAAGAGCCACACAACUCAUUCAUUUAAAGAGCU
Molecule: non-coding RNA, 46 nt
Organism: Danio rerio (zebrafish)
Lineage: Eukaryota; Metazoa; Chordata; Actinopteri; Cypriniformes; Danionidae
Source: Rfam